GAGGAGACUUCAGUGAUAUCAGAGAGAGGCGAGAGAGAGGCGAUUAAACGGACAACUGAUCAGCGAUGCUUAUUUGAUCGGUGGAUGGAUCAAAUAAGAUCGGUGGAUGCAGAUGCGAAGAUCGGCGCUGCAGAUGCGAAGAUCGGCGCUGCAGAUGCGAAGAUGGGUGGAUGGAUGGAUGAUGAUCGGCGAUGCUUAUUUGAUCGGUCGAGGUACAGACAACUGAUCGGCAAUGGCUUAUUUGAUGUAAAUCAAAGCACAGUCAAAGCAAAUUCAGAGAUGGGUAUAUUACAAGUAAGAUUUUUACUCAGUUUAUUGAUUUCCCGAAAAUGUAGUGAGUUAAUGAAUUAGGAAGGCUUUGAUGUGGUUGAUGAUUGAUGGUUUGGAUGGAUUGGAUUACUGAUUGAAUCAAUGCUCUGUAGUGGUUAGGUUUGCAUUAGAUAUUGUAGUCAAUGCUUUGUUGAAUUAGGAUGUGAUUUGUAGUUGCUCUAUGUCACGGUUGAUAAAUGUGAGAGUGGAAUCAAUGCAUUUGUGUCACAAUGAAUGCUUCGGUUAAAACUCUAAUAAAUAGUUUCUUUUGCUCAUGUCUUCAGAAGCUACAAACUCUUAACUACAAACUCUAACUUAACUCUAACUUAACUUGAACUUUAAAUCUAUCUUCAAUGCUAACUCCAUCUUGAAUAAGCUUCUAUAUAUUGAAGCUCACUUUGUUUUUUUUAAAAGACACACACCCAAACUUCUUUCCACACUUUUUAAAAGACACACCGAAAUCACACACCCAAACACACACCCUAAACACAUUCACUAAACCUUCCAAUGGAUUCAACUAAUCCUUUUUCUGACACAUCAGGCUUCAUGGACCUGCUAACUAGCCAACAAAGAACCCAAACCCAUAGCCUUGAACCCAUGGAAACAACCAUAGCACUCGGUGAUUCACAAGUUCCAGUGUUUGGAACACAAUGGAGUGAUGCUCCAAGUCCAACUGAUGCACAAGAGAAGGAGCGUAAGACCAGGAAGCCAUGGACUCCUGCUGAAGAUCUUGCGCUUAUAAGCGCCUGGCUUAAUACCAGCAAGGAUCCAAUCAUCAGCAAUGGGCAAAGGGCAGAUGCAUUCUGGAAAAGAAUAGCCAUCUACUAUGCGGCGAGUCCUGACGUGUCUGCUGAAGAUAAGAGAGGGCCAACUAACUGUAAGCAGAGAUGGGCCAAGAUAAAUGAGUUUGUCUGCAAGUUUGUUGGGUCGUAUGAGGCAGCUUCAUCUCAAAAAACAUCAGGUCAAAAUGAAAAUGAUGUAAUGAAGCUGGCUUUGGAGAUAUUCCACAAUGAUUACAAACACAAAUUCACCAUGGAGCACUGCUGGAGAGAACUGCGUCAUGAUCAGAAGUGGGCAGGAAAUGGAAGCUCAAAAAAAAGAAGAACCGAUGGUGCUAGAGUUGAAGGAACCGAUGCUCCUUUGAGGCAUGGAGAUGAUGAAGGAAUUCCUCGGCCUGCUGGUGUAAAAGCUUCCAAGGGCAAAAAAAAAACAACAAAGACCAAUGGUGGUCGUUUGGAAGAAGAUGGUAAGGAUUUAGUGGACUUUAGAAGCAUCUUUGAGCUAAGGGAAAGGGAGUUAGCAUUGAAAGAUAAGACUAACAAGCAAAAGAUACUCGAAAAUCUGCUUGCAAAAACCGAACCUCUUACUGAGGUAGAAUUCGAGCUUAAGAACAAGCUCAUUAAGGAAAUGUUGUCAAAUAUGUGAGAGUUUGUAUGAGUGAGUUAAGGGUGAGGUCUGUUUUUCUUUGGUAUGAGUUAGUUUUUGGGUAUGUCAUAUUGUUAAGUCUUUUGGGUAUGUCAUAUUGUUAAGUCUUUUUGGGUAUGUCAUAUUGUUAAGUCUCGGGUAUAACUUCUAUGUCUUGUAAUGUUUGUUCUAUGUAUUUUUAUAAAGCCUUUCAGUUGUUUGUCUUUUGGUUUAGGUUCUAUGUAUUGUAUUCAAGACUCCAUAUAUAUAUAUGAUUUUGUUUCCUUUAUCAUUUGUAUGACUUAUAUUCACUUGUUCAUGAUCUCUUUUUUCUUAUUGCAGGCAACAAAGUCAUGGACAAACGGCUACAAAGGAGGCUUUGAAGAAAUGGCUACAAUUUGUAUAUUCAUAUAGGUUUGGGCCACCAUUAUUAUUUUGGCCGAUGUUUUGUGCAAUAUAAGGUUUGGAACUGGUACUUAGCUAUAUUUUGGGCCUGCUAUUUUGUAUUGGCCGUUAAAAACUUUUAGCCGAUGUUUUUAAGUCCCACUUCUUUUUCUGUCCCAAUUUGUUAUGUCCCACUUCUUUUUAUCCGAUGUUUUUGGCCAAGUCUUUAGCAAGUGGUGGUUCUGUAUUCAUAUGUACACACCACACAAUUUAUUACACAAUUUAUGGC
RNAcentral lists this long non-coding RNA (2386 nucleotides) under Eutrema salsugineum. Its description in RNAcentral is "long non-coding RNA (ESAL_LNC000114)". The record is from RNAcentral. Lineage: Eukaryota; Viridiplantae; Streptophyta; Magnoliopsida; Brassicales; Brassicaceae.